GAUGAACGCUGGCGGCGUGCCUAAUACAUGCAAGUCGAGCGAACGGACGAGAAGCUUGCUUCUCUGAUGUUAGCGGCGGACGGGUGAGUAACACGUGGAUAACCUACCUAUAAGACUGGGAUAACUUCGGGAAACCGGAGCUAAUACCGGAUAAUAUUUUGAAACGCAUGGUUCAAAAGUGAAAGACGGUCUUGCUGUCACUUAUAGAUGGAUCCGCGCUGCAUUAGCUAGUUGGUAAGGUAACGGCUUACCAAGGCAACGAUGCAUAGCCGACCUGAGAGGGUGAUCGGCCACACUGGAACUGAGACACGGUCCAGACUCCUACGGGAGGCAGCAGUAGGGAAUCUUACGCAAUGGGCGAAAGCCUGACGGAGCAACGCCGCGUGAGUGAUGAAGGUCUUCGGAUCGUAAAACUCUGUUAUUAGGGAAGAACAUAUGUGUAAGUAACUGUGCACAUCUUGACGGUACCUAAUCAGAAAGCCACGGCUAACUACGUG
RNAcentral lists this ribosomal RNA (497 nucleotides) under uncultured bacterium. RNAcentral describes it as "partial 16S ribosomal RNA". It matches the Rfam family "Bacterial small subunit ribosomal RNA", at positions 28 to 507 of the family's 1533-position model. The record is from RNAcentral.